This 435-nucleotide ribosomal RNA is filed under the name uncultured bacterium. Its description in RNAcentral is "bacterial SSU rRNA". It matches the Rfam family "Bacterial small subunit ribosomal RNA", at positions 958 to 1392 of the family's 1533-position model. The record is from RNAcentral.
AACGCGAAGAACCUUACCAGGUCUUGACAUACUGAUGACCGGCCCAGAGAUGGGUUUUCCUCUUCGGAGGCAUCAGAUACAGGUGGUGCAUGGUUGUCGUCAGCUCGUGUCGUGAGAUGUUGGGUUAAGUCCCGCAACGAGCGCAACCCCUAUCGUUAGUUGCCAGCAGUAAGAUGGGGACUCUAACGAGACUGCCAGUGAUAAACUGGAGGAAGGUGGGGAUGACGUCAAAUCAUCAUGCCCCUUAUGACCUGGGCUACACACGUGCUACAAUGGUUGGUACAAAGAGAAGCGAAGCGGUGACGUGGAGCAAACCUCAUAAAGCCAAUCUCAGUUCGGAUUGUAGGCUGCAACUCGCCUACAUGAAGUUGGAAUCGCUAGUAAUCGCGAAUCAGAAUGUCGCGGUGAAUACGUUCCCGGGUCUUGUACACACCG